CUCGAUAGCUCAGUCGGUAGAGCAGAGGAUUGAAAAUCCUCGUGUCGGUGGUUCGAUUCNUCAGU
This 65-nucleotide transfer RNA is filed under the name Vibrio parahaemolyticus. RNAcentral describes it as "tRNA-Phe". The stretch from base 6 to 62 matches the Rfam family "tRNA", at positions 8 to 63 of the family's 71-position model. From Rfam's summary of the family: Transfer RNA (tRNA) molecules are approximately 80 nucleotides in length. Their secondary structure includes four short double-helical elements and three loops (D, anti-codon, and T loops). Lineage: Bacteria; Pseudomonadati; Pseudomonadota; Gammaproteobacteria; Vibrionales; Vibrionaceae. The record is from RNAcentral.